CACCGCGGUUAUACGAGAGGCCCAAGUUGAUGGUUACCGGCGUAAAGAGUGGUUACGGAACUUUUAAACUAAAGCCGAACACCCUUUAAGCUGUCAUACGCACCUGAGGGCACGAAGCCCCCUCACGAAAGUGGCUUUACCCCCCCCCCCCGAACCCACGACAGCUAUGAUA
This 172-nucleotide ribosomal RNA is filed under the name Nansenia ardesiaca. RNAcentral describes it as "partial 12S rRNA". The record is from RNAcentral. Lineage: Eukaryota; Metazoa; Chordata; Actinopteri; Argentiniformes; Microstomatidae.